Molecule: long non-coding RNA, 337 nt
Filed under: Rosa chinensis
Lineage: Eukaryota; Viridiplantae; Streptophyta; Magnoliopsida; Rosales; Rosaceae
Description: sRNA RchiOBHm_Chr1g0320991
Source: RNAcentral
CCCUAACCCCCGUCGCUCCCCAAAAUCGUAGCUUCCCUACAAAACCCGCAUUGCGAAACCCUAAUUCGUCGCUCUCUUCGGCAAUGACGAAGGCGUACGGAACAGGCGCGUACGAUUUCAAGCGCCACCAUGUUACCGAGUACCCGGUGGAGCUGAACCACCAGCUUGGAGAGAAGCCGGUGGAGGCUAAACCCGGCGCGGCGCUGCCGAGCUCGAUAACGCUGUCGGAGAUUCAGAGGGACCAGCUCACUAUGAUUGCCGCUGCCAAUUGGUCCAAAGCCAGCGGGCAGGUGUAGAAGGCGUUCGACGCGGAGCUGGUGAAGAAGAUUUACGAGAC